CGAGCAUCAUAGGACUUUGUGAGGAGGAUAUUUGACGAUUUUAUGUUUCCAUGAGACACGUUAGGGCCUUGAGAGUGCAGGUAUUCAAUUCCACAGGCAGCUCCAAGAGCAAUUCCAGAUCUAAUGUCCCAGUUCAGUGGAGUCCUUCCUGCUCCUUUGUUCCCUAAAUCCCACAAGUUAAAAAAGUGAGAAUAAUGAAAGAAAAAUUAAACCUACAUACAGCACUAUCACUCCAGAGAAUAUGAUGGAAUCUCCAGAAAUAGCUGAAAAAUGAUGACAAACACUUGAUUAAAAGAUAAAUUCUGCUCAAAAAAGAGAGAGGUAAAUGGCAGAAGGACAAGACCGAUGCAACAUCAUUGACCUAAGAAGAAUGAAUACUAUAUGAAAUUGAGUAUGUUCUAAAGAAGCAAUGCAGAUAUACUUUAAAUUCCACUCAUUUAAGCAACCUAUUUAAUCGGUGUUUAAAUGAUAAAAGAACUAUAGUGGAGUGCAGUUCAUGAUUAUCUUCAAAAAGGAUUUGAGUCUAAGAGCUAAACCACAACAAAUAAGAGAAUAAAAAAAAAAGGUAGAAACACAAAAAAGACUCAGUAAUCAUCGAAUGGAAAUGAUAACAACCAUUCACCAACAUAAAAUCUGCAAAAAGAAAAGCAAUAAAUGAUCCAAAAGGGACUGCUCUGAAUUAAACAAAAAAAUUGCUCACCAUGCAAAAGUGCAGAUAAGCUUCCCAUGGGCAUGUAAUCAUAGACAAGGAGCUUCUCAUCCCUGCUAAAAUAGUAAGCUCGGAGAGGGACCAAAUUUUGAUGAUCCAUAGCUCCAACCCCUUCAAUCCUAUCCUUGAAUUCCCUCUCAGAAAUAGUCACAUCC
This 864-nucleotide long non-coding RNA is filed under the name Theobroma cacao (cacao). RNAcentral describes it as "long non-coding RNA (TCAC_LNC001625)". Lineage: Eukaryota; Viridiplantae; Streptophyta; Magnoliopsida; Malvales; Malvaceae. The record is from RNAcentral.